UCGAGAAUCUUCGGCAAUGGGGGAAACCCUGACCGAGCGACGCCGCGUGCGGGAUGAAGGCCUUCGGGUUGUAAACCGCUGUCAGUGUGGAGGAAAUGUAGUGGGGUUCUCCCCAUUAUUUGACCUAUACGCAGAGGAAGGACGGGCUAAGUUCGUGCCAGCAGCCGCGGUAAGACGAACCGUCCAAACGUUAUUCGGAAUUACUGGGCUUAAAGGGUGCGUAGGCGGUCCGAUAAGUUGGGUGUGAAAGCCCUCGGCGCAACCGAGGAAUAGCGCCGAAAACUGUUGGACUUGAGUAAGGCAGAGGUGAACGGAACUUAGGGUGGAGCGGUGAAAUGCGUUGAUAUCCGAAGGAACACCAGUAGCGAAAGCGGUUCACUGGGCCUUUACUGACGCUGAGGCACGAAAGCCAGGGGAGCGAACG
Molecule: ribosomal RNA, 424 nt
Filed under: uncultured prokaryote
Description: bacterial SSU rRNA
Rfam family: Bacterial small subunit ribosomal RNA
Source: RNAcentral